GGACGGGUGAGUUACACGUGGGUAACCUGCCUCAAGAGGAGGGGGAUAGCCUCCCCGAAAGGGAGAUUAAUCCCGCAUAACAUUAGUUUCUCGCAUGAGAGACUAAUUAGAGGAGUAAUCCGCUUUGAGAUGGACCCGCGGCGCAUUAGCUAGUUGGUGAGGUAACGGCUCACCAAGGCGACGAUGCGUAGCCGACCUGAGAGGGUGAUCGGCCACAUUGGAACUGAGACACGGUCCAGACUCCUACGGGAGGCAGCAGUGGGGAAUAUUGCACAACGGGCGAAAGCCUGAUGCAGCAACGCCGCGUGAGUGAUGAAGGUCUUCGGAUUGUAAAGCUCUGUCUUUUGGGACGAUAAUGACGGUACCAAAGGAGGAAGCCACGGCUAACUACGUGCCAGCAGCCGCGGUAAUACGUAGGUGGCGAGCGUUGUCCGGAUUUACUGGGCGUAAAGGAUGCGUAGGCGGAUGUUUAAGUGAGAUGUGAAAUUCCCGGGCUUAACUUGGGAGCUGCAUUUCAAACUGGAUAUCUAGAGUGCGGGAGAGGAGAAUGGAAUUCCUAGUGUAGCGGUGAAAUGCGUAUAGAUUAGGAAGAACACCAGUGGCGAAGGCGAUUCUCUGGACCGUAACUGACGCUGAGGCAUGAAAGCGUGGGUAGCAACCAGG
RNAcentral lists this ribosomal RNA (663 nucleotides) under uncultured Clostridia bacterium. RNAcentral describes it as "bacterial SSU rRNA". It matches the Rfam family "Bacterial small subunit ribosomal RNA", at positions 100 to 776 of the family's 1533-position model. The record is from RNAcentral. Lineage: Bacteria; Bacillati; Bacillota; Clostridia.